RNAcentral lists this non-coding RNA (106 nucleotides) under uncultured Sneathiella sp. RNAcentral describes it as "Glycine riboswitch". It matches the Rfam family "Glycine riboswitch aptamer", at positions 9 to 86 of the family's 94-position model. From Rfam's summary of the family: This family represents the bacterial glycine riboswitch. Glycine riboswitches usually consist of two metabolite-binding aptamers domains with similar structures in tandem. The aptamers cooperatively bind glycine to regulate the expression of downstream genes. The record is from RNAcentral. Lineage: Bacteria; Pseudomonadati; Pseudomonadota; Alphaproteobacteria; Sneathiellales; Sneathiellaceae.
GAAUCUCUGGAAAGCAAGCCGAAUGUUCGGCUUCACCGAAGGGGUAAGCAUGAAACGUCACGUUUACGUUUCAUGUCAAAUCUCUCAGGUCCUAAGACAGAGGGGG